This 440-nucleotide ribosomal RNA is filed under the name uncultured bacterium. RNAcentral's name for it is "partial 16S ribosomal RNA". It matches the Rfam family "Bacterial small subunit ribosomal RNA", at positions 338 to 795 of the family's 1533-position model. The record is from RNAcentral.
CCUACGGGGGGCAGCAGUGGGGAAUAUUGCACAAUGGGGGAAACCCUGAUGCAGCGACGCCGCGUGAGUGAAGAAGUAUUUCGGUAUGUAAAGCUCUAUCAGCAGGGAAGAAAAUGACAGUACCUGAACAAGAAGCCCCGGCUAACUACGUGCCAGCAGCCGCGGUAAUACGUAGGGGGCGAGCGUUAUCCGGAUUUACUGGGUGUAAAGGGAGCGUAGGCGGCAGCGGAAGUCUGGAGUGAAAGGCCGGGGCUCAACCCCGGCACGGCUUUUGAAACUGUGCGGCUAGAGUGCAGGAGAGGUAGGCGGAAUUCCUGGUGUAGCGGUGAAAUGCGUAGAUAUUAGGAGGAACACCGGUGGCGAAGGCGGCUUACUGGACUGUAACUGACGUUGAGGCUCGAAGGCGUGGGGAGCGAACAGGAUUAGAUACCCCAGUAGUC